UACCACUCUCGUUAGAGGGCACACCGUCAUCCACUGGGAGUGAUUUUCUUACUUCUUUCCAGACUAGAUAGGGGAGGGAGAAACAUAUACCCUGAAGGGCAAGGGGAACAAAUACCCUUUAGAGAUAAAAAGUCUAACGAAACACUUGAUGUAAUAUGCAUGUCAAUACAGAUACAUUUCAGACCAUACAGGCUUCAUUCCACUUUUCUCUUUUUCUUUUCUUUUAUAC
Molecule: long non-coding RNA, 229 nt
Filed under: Carica papaya (papaya)
Lineage: Eukaryota; Viridiplantae; Streptophyta; Magnoliopsida; Brassicales; Caricaceae
Description: long non-coding RNA (CPAP_LNC003194)
Source: RNAcentral